CACGUAGGGGGCGAGCGUUGUCCGGAUUCAUUGGGCGUAAAGGGCGCGCAGGCGGCCCGGAAAGUCGGAUGUGAAAACUCGAGGCUCAACCUCGAGCGUGCACCCGAUACUGCCGGGCUUGAGGCAGGUAGGGGAGAUCGGAAUUCCUGGUGUAGCGGUGAAAUGCGCAGAUAUCAGGAGGAACACCGGUGGCGAAGGCGGGUCUCUGGGCCGUAACUGACGCUGAGGAGCGAAAGCGUGGGGAGCGAACAGG
This 253-nucleotide ribosomal RNA is filed under the name uncultured bacterium. RNAcentral describes it as "partial 16S ribosomal RNA". It matches the Rfam family "Bacterial small subunit ribosomal RNA", at positions 524 to 776 of the family's 1533-position model. The record is from RNAcentral.